UGUCAGGAGUUAUGAAAUGUAGGAAUGUAAUAGCAUUUCUAUUUGACAAAGGCUCCAAAGGAAGCCACGGCUAACUCUGUGCCAGCAGCCGCGGUAAUACAGGGGUGGCAAGCGUUGUUCGGAAUUAUUGGGCGUAAAGAGCACGUAGGUGGAUUUGUAAGUCAGAUGUGAAAGCCUUCUGUUCAACGGGAGAAUUGCAUCUGAAACUACAGACCUUGAGUAUAGGAGGGGAGAGUGGAACUUCUGGU
This 248-nucleotide ribosomal RNA is filed under the name uncultured anaerobic ammonium-oxidizing bacterium. Its description in RNAcentral is "partial 16S ribosomal RNA". It matches the Rfam family "Bacterial small subunit ribosomal RNA", at positions 434 to 674 of the family's 1533-position model. The record is from RNAcentral.